GGUUGGUGGCUCAGUGGCAGAGCGCUCGCCUCGAACAUGUGAGGCCCUGGGUUCGAUCCUCAGCACCA
Molecule: transfer RNA, 68 nt
Filed under: Marmota monax (woodchuck)
Lineage: Eukaryota; Metazoa; Chordata; Mammalia; Rodentia; Sciuridae
Description: tRNA.Ser
Rfam family: tRNA
About the family: Transfer RNA (tRNA) molecules are approximately 80 nucleotides in length. Their secondary structure includes four short double-helical elements and three loops (D, anti-codon, and T loops).
Source: RNAcentral